UCCCGUGUGGCUCAGUUGGUAGAGCAUGGUGUUUGCAACGCCAGGGUUGUAGGUUCGAUUCCCACAGGGGAC
Non-coding RNA from Salmo salar (Atlantic salmon), 72 nucleotides. NCBI's taxonomy places the organism in Eukaryota, Metazoa, Chordata, Actinopteri, Salmoniformes, Salmonidae. The record is from Rfam.